GGCCCACACACGGCACCAAAGGCACACACUUCUGCCACUUGAGCUCAAGCUACCUUUACUAGAAAUGCAAGUAAGAAGCAGGUUGGGACAGUGAGCGGGAGGCACAGUAGGACGGAGCUACGAUCCUAUAGACACACUGCCCAGGGCUUGCGUUGGCUCCUGCCACCCAAAUCAGCCCCCGUCCUGUGGCUGAUUAUGCAGAAAGCACUGCUUUACAUAGUAUGUACUUAUAUAGGGUGCGUACAGUGAAUCUGGUUGGGUUCCUUUCCUAGCAAAUCAGUAUUUUAGGAAAUAGCUGGUGGGUUUCGGGGUCUUAGCUCAAGGCAACCUAGAAGAAAGCCCAGUUGUCAAGCCUGCCAGAUCAGGCCCAGAAACCAGGAAACACCAGAGUAACCAAGUCUUAAAGACACAUCUGGACAAACAGCUGGGACUGCCGUGUCC
Molecule: long non-coding RNA, 441 nt
Filed under: Gallus gallus (chicken)
Lineage: Eukaryota; Metazoa; Chordata; Aves; Galliformes; Phasianidae
Description: lncRNA (ENSGALG00010003738.1)
Source: RNAcentral